GAUCAUUAAUGAGAUUGUUGCUUUUGGCCUAUCUAUACCCCAUUGUGUUUACUACCAUGUUGCUUCCACUGCGCCAGGCUGGCCCGUGAUACGUCCGCCCUCUGGCCUCUGGCUGGGGAGUGCUGGUGGAUAGCCCCUUCUCUGAAACCUUAAUGAAUAUGAUAUCUUGUCUGAAUAAACAAACUUGAAUAAAACUUUCAACAACGGAUCUCUAGGCUCUUGCAUCGAUGAAGAACGCAGUGAAAUGCGAUACGUAAUGUGAAUUGCAGAAUUUCGUGAAUCAUUGAAUCUUUGAACGCACAUUGCGCCUUAUGGUAUUCCAUAGGGCAUGCCUGUCUGAGCGUCAGCUACCCCCACUCUCAAGCAUUUUGCUUGGACAUCUUUGGAGAAGCUAUACUCAAGGUGUAGCUCCCCAUAAAUGCAUAGGCAGUACGGAUUUUUCUUUUGCUGAACGUAAUAUUAUAAAUGUCACGUUUGCUUGGAAGCUUCUGUGUUUGCCCUCAACCCACUUAUUCUAAAUGGGUGACCUCAGAUCAGGUAGGGAUACCCGCUGAACUUAAGCAUAUCAAUAAGCGGAGGAAAAGAAACCAACAGGGAUUGCCUCAGUAACGGCGAGUGAAGCGGCAAAAGCUCAGAUUUGAAAUCUGGCGUCAUACUGGCGUCCGAGUUGUAAUCUGUAGAGGAGUGCUCGAGUGUGGAUCUGGCUUAAGUUCCUUGGAACAGGACGUCAUAGAGGGUGAGAAUCCCGUUAACGGCCUAUGUCUUAUACUCAUGUGAGUCUCCUUCAACGAGUCGAGUUGUUUGGGAAUGCAGCUCUAAAUUGGUGGUAAAUUCCAUCUAAAGCUAAAUACUGGCAAGAGACCGAUAGCGCACAAGUAGAGUGAUCGAAAGAUGAAAAGAACUCUGAACAGAGAGUUAAAUAGUACGUGAAAUUGUUGAAAGGGAAGCACUUGCUACCAGACACGCUUGUGGUUGAUCAGCCUCCAUUAUUGGUGGUGCACUCUGCUACAAGUGGGUCAGCAUCAGUUACAAUGGUGGGAAAAAGACUGGGGGAAUGUAGCUUCUUUCGGGGAGUGUUAUAGCCCUUGGUGCAAUAUCAUCUAAUGUGACUGAGGCCCGCGCU
This 1123-nucleotide ribosomal RNA is filed under the name fungal sp. ARIZ AZ0902. RNAcentral describes it as "eukaryotic LSU rRNA". The stretch from base 524 to 1123 matches the Rfam family "Eukaryotic large subunit ribosomal RNA", at positions 1 to 602 of the family's 3401-position model. The record is from RNAcentral. Lineage: Eukaryota; Fungi.